AUUAACGCGAAGAACCUUACCUAGGCUUGACAUGGCGCUGGUACCGACCCGAAAGGGAAGGGACCCGCAAGGGAGGCGUCACAGGUGCUGCAUGGCUGUCGUCAGCUCGUGCCGUGAGGUGUUGGGUUAAGUCCCGCAACGAGCGCAACCCUCGCUGCCAGUUACCAUGUCUGGCGGGACCGCCGGGUCCAACCCGGAGGAAGGUGGGGAUGACGUCAAGUCAGCACGGCUCUUACGUCCAGGGCUACACACACGCUACAAUGGCCGGUACAACGCGCAGCGAUGGGGCGACCCGGAGCGAAUCGCAUCAAAGCCGGUCUCAGUUGGGAUUGCAGGCUGCAACUCGCCUGCAUGAACGCGGAGUUGCUAGUAACCGCAGGUCAGCACACUGCGGUGAAUACGUUCCCGGGCCUUGUACACACCGAAU
This 427-nucleotide ribosomal RNA is filed under the name uncultured Actinomycetes bacterium. RNAcentral's name for it is "bacterial SSU rRNA". It matches the Rfam family "Bacterial small subunit ribosomal RNA", at positions 955 to 1395 of the family's 1533-position model. The record is from RNAcentral. Lineage: Bacteria; Bacillati; Actinomycetota; Actinomycetes.